UAGGGAAUAUUAGAAAUGGACGAAAGUCUGAUCUAGCAACACCGCGUGUGCGAAGAAGGCCUUCGGGUUGUAAAGCACUUUUUGGAAGGAUUAGGAAGGAAUGUACUUCCAAUAAGUCUCGGCUAACUACGUGCCAGCAGCCGCGGUAACACGUAGGAGGCAAACGUUAUCCGGAUUUACUGGGCGUAAAGCGCGUGUAGGUGGUUCUGUAAGUAGGGCGUGAAAGCUCCUGGCUCAACUGGGAGAGGCCGUUCUAAACUGCAGAGCUAGAGGAUGGUAGAGGGAGGUGGAAUUCCGGGUGUAGCGGUGGAAUGCGCAGAUAUCCGGAGGAACACCAGUGGCGAAAGCGGCCUCCUGGACCAUUCCUGACACUCAGACGCGAAAGCUAGGGUAGCAAACG
This 400-nucleotide ribosomal RNA is filed under the name uncultured prokaryote. RNAcentral's name for it is "bacterial SSU rRNA". It matches the Rfam family "Bacterial small subunit ribosomal RNA", at positions 355 to 774 of the family's 1533-position model. The record is from RNAcentral.